Bos taurus (domestic cattle) is the source of this 1759-nucleotide long non-coding RNA. NCBI's taxonomy places the organism in Eukaryota, Metazoa, Chordata, Mammalia, Artiodactyla, Bovidae. The record is from Ensembl.
GAAGCCACUAACAAAGUCUUAGGCCUGUGGGUAUUUUUCUCUCCCAGCCCUUCUGAGCACGUGGUAUUCCCUUGCUUUGGGACCUGGGCCCUUUGUGGUAGCAGAAUCAGAGCACAGAGGACAAUGCCUGGGGGCUUAUAGUAAGACCCAGAGUGUUGCUGGAGGUCUCAGGUCUAUCCAAAUUGGAGCUAGUAGAGCCUGAAGAAAAGUGGAACCACCCAGCCAAGCCAAGAAGGGUUAGUACUUCUGCUUUGAGAGCAGACCUCACACAAACAGAUGGGAAGCAGAAACGAGGGAAGAGGAUUGAAGAUGAACCCACGUUUUAAAAGUCCUUGUCUGCAGGAGGUGGCAUUACCUGUGACCUCGCUUCACUUCUUCAUACAUGGCUGUUGUAGCAGGGCUCCACCAGAUGGCUGCUCCAACACAACACACAACAAGGUCUAACAUAUGAAGACCCCAUGGAAUUUGGAAAAUGAGAUAGGAUAAAGACCACCACGUGGGCUAUUGCCUAGAUUGACCAAGUCCUUAGAUAUCAAACUGAGAUCAAAGGAACCCAACUUCAUCACACAUCUCUUCUCCGGAUUUCAAUUUUUACUUGAUCAUGUCUUCCCAUAUUAGAUCUUUUCCACUCAGUUUUUUGUCUCCAGCAUUUUCUCAAGCUAUCAUCUUGUUUGGAGGUAUCAUGGAUUCAGGAUCCAUGCCUAAGGAACAAAAGAAAAUGACUAUACCUAAGGACUUGCCACGGAGAAGGCAAUGGCACCCCACUCCAGUACUCUUCCCUGGAAAAUCCCAUGGACGGAGGGGCCUGGUAGGCUGCAGUCCGUGGGGUCUCUAGGAGUCGGACAAGACUGAGCGACUUCACUUUCACUUUUCACUUUCAUGUGUUGGAGAAGGAAAUGGCAACCCACUCCAGUGUUCUUGCCUGGAGAAUCCCAGUGUCGGGGAGCCUGGUGGGCUGCCGUCUAUGGGGUCGCACAGAGUCGGAUAUGACUGAACCGACUUAGCAGCAGCAAGGACUUGCCAAAUCUGGGCAACAGGCCACAUGUUAAUUAUCUUGUCUCACUCAGAAGGUAAAGCAUUGGCCUGCAAUGCAACAGACCCAGGUUUGAUCCAUGGGUCCGGAAGAUCCCCUGGAGAAGGAACUGGCAAAACAUGCUGUAUUCUUCCCUGGGGAAUUCAAUGGAGAGAGGAACCUGGUGGGCUACAGUCCAUGGGAUCCCAAAGAGUGAGGCACAACUGUGUGAAUAACACACACACUUCCCUAAUUUCCUGGGGUCUUCAAAUUCUAGGCUUUGUGUACUGAGUUGAAGAAGCCAUUUGAUGAAGCUCUAGGAGGAUGACCCAGAUGAAGCUCUCACGACUGAAUGCAGACAGUUGCCUACAUGUAAUCAUACACUCUUACAGGACUAUAAAUUCCAAUCAGAUGGGACACGUGACUUUGUCUAAUGGUAUCAUAGAACAUUGGGAAAAAAAAACAGGCAUUUUCUAUGUCAUUAAAUGGCCGUAGACCUUAUUGUAUAUAAUCACUGUUUUUUUACUUAAAGAUCCAUUUUAUAAUAUUUUCUCAUUAGUAAGAAAGAAACAGAGCUUGUUUUUACUUAUGGAUGAAGUCUUUGGCGGCAGCUUGUAUCAUUUAUACAUAUCCACAUUAAUAGGUCUUUCAGAGCGCUUGAAUUUCAUAUAUUUUAUUCUAGAACACAGUUAGGAUAUUAUAAUGUCAAAAAUACAUGUUAGGUCAUUCACAAUGAGAAGAAUUAAC